This 2887-nucleotide ribosomal RNA is filed under the name Vibrio parahaemolyticus 949. RNAcentral describes it as "bacterial LSU rRNA". It matches the Rfam family "Bacterial large subunit ribosomal RNA". Lineage: Bacteria; Pseudomonadati; Pseudomonadota; Gammaproteobacteria; Vibrionales; Vibrionaceae. The record is from RNAcentral. RNAcentral also lists the same sequence under 1 other name.
UAAGUGACUAAGCGUACACGGUGGAUGCCUUGGCAGUCAGAGGCGAUGAAAGACGUAGUAACUUGCGAUAAGCCCAGAUUAGGUAGUAACAACCAUUUGAGUCUGGGAUUUCUGAAUGGGGAAACCCACGUGCAUAAGCACGUAUCCUUACCUGAAUACAUAGGGUAAGGAGGCGAACCGGGGGAACUGAAACAUCUAAGUACCCCGAGGAAAAGAAAUCAACCGAGAUUCCGAAAGUAGCGGCGAGCGAAAUUGGACUAGCCCUUAAGCUUUACACGCGUUAGACGAACGGUCUGGAAAGUCCGACGAUACAGGGUGAUAGUCCCGUAGUUGACGACGUGUGUUCAGUGAAAUCGAGUAGGGCGGGACACGUGAUAUCCUGUCUGAAUAUGGGGGGACCAUCCUCCAAGGCUAAAUACUACUGACUGACCGAUAGUGAACCAGUACCGUGAGGGAAAGGCGAAAAGAACCCCUGUGAGGGGAGUGAAAUAGAACCUGAAACCGUGUACGUACAAGCAGUAGGAGCAGGCUUUGUCCUGUGACUGCGUACCUUUUGUAUAAUGGGUCAGCGACUUAUAUUCAGUGGCAAGGUUAACCAUCUAGGGGAGCCGUAGGGAAACCGAGUCUUAACUGGGCGUUCAGUCUCUGGAUAUAGACCCGAAACCAGGUGAUCUAGCCAUGGGCAGGUUGAAGGUUGAGUAACAUCAACUGGAGGACCGAACCGACUAAUGUUGAAAAAUUAGCGGAUGACUUGUGGCUAGGGGUGAAAGGCCAAUCAAACCUGGAGAUAGCUGGUUCUCCCCGAAAGCUAUUUAGGUAGCGCCUCGGACGAAUACUACUGGGGGUAGAGCACUGUUAAGGCUAGGGGGUCAUCCCGACUUACCAACCCUUUGCAAACUCCGAAUACCAGUAAGUACUAUCCGGGAGACACACGGCGGGUGCUAACGUCCGUCGUGGAGAGGGAAACAACCCAGACCGCCAGCUAAGGUCCCAAAUUACUACUAAGUGGGAAACGAUGUGGGAAGGCUCAGACAGCCAGGAUGUUGGCUUAGAAGCAGCCAUCAUUUAAAGAAAGCGUAAUAGCUCACUGGUCGAGUCGGCCUGCGCGGAAGAUGUAACGGGGCUAAGUAGUAAACCGAAGCUGCGGCAAUGUGCUUUUGCACAUUGGGUAGGGGAGCGUUCUGUAAGCGGUUGAAGGUGUGUGGUAACGCAUGCUGGACGUAUCAGAAGUGCGAAUGCUGACAUGAGUAACGAUAAAGGGGGUGAAAAACCUCCUCGCCGGAAGACCAAGGGUUCCUGUCCAACGUUAAUCGGGGCAGGGUAAGUCGACCCCUAAGGCGAGGCCGAAAGGCGUAGUCGAUGGGAAACGGGUUAAUAUUCCCGUACUUCUUACAAUUGCGAUGGGGGGACGGAGAAGGCUAGGUGGGCCUGGCGACGGUUGUCCAGGUUCAAGUGCGUAGGCUUAAGAGUUAGGUAAAUCCGGCUCUUUUUAAGGCUGAGACACGACGUCGAGCAUCUACGGAUGUGAAGUCAUUGAUGCCAUGCUUCCAGGAAAAGCCUCUAAGCUUCAGAUUGUAAGGAAUCGUACCCCAAACCGACACAGGUGGUCGGGUAGAGAAUACCAAGGCGCUUGAGAGAACUCGGGUGAAGGAACUAGGCAAAAUGGUACCGUAACUUCGGGAGAAGGUACGCUCUCGACGGUGAAGUCCCUCGCGGAUGGAGCUAUUGAGAGUCGCAGAUACCAGGUGGCUGCAACUGUUUAUUAAAAACACAGCACUGUGCAAAAUCGUAAGAUGACGUAUACGGUGUGACGCCUGCCCGGUGCCGGAAGGUUAAUUGAUGGGGUUAGACUUCGGUCGAAGCUCUUGAUCGAAGCCCCGGUAAACGGCGGCCGUAACUAUAACGGUCCUAAGGUAGCGAAAUUCCUUGUCGGGUAAGUUCCGACCUGCACGAAUGGCGUAAUGAUGGCCACGCUGUCUCCACCCGAGACUCAGUGAAAUUGAAAUCGCUGUGAAGAUGCAGUGUACCCGCGGCUAGACGGAAAGACCCCGUGAACCUUUACUACAGCUUGGCACUGAACAUUGACCCUACAUGUGUAGGAUAGGUGGGAGGCUUUGAAGCACGUACGCCAGUAUGUGUGGAGCCGUCCUUGAAAUACCACCCUUGUAGUGUUGAUGUUCUAACGUCGACCCCUUAUCGGGGUUGCGGACAGUGCCUGGUGGGUAGUUUGACUGGGGCGGUCUCCUCCCAAAGAGUAACGGAGGAGCACGAAGGUGGGCUAAUCACGGUUGGACAUCGUGAGGUUAGUGCAAUGGCAUAAGCCCGCUUGACUGCGAGAAUGACAAUUCGAGCAGGUGCGAAAGCAGGUCAUAGUGAUCCGGUGGUUCUGAAUGGAAGGGCCAUCGCUCAACGGAUAAAAGGUACUCCGGGGAUAACAGGCUGAUACCGCCCAAGAGUUCAUAUCGACGGCGGUGUUUGGCACCUCGAUGUCGGCUCAUCACAUCCUGGGGCUGAAGUCGGUCCCAAGGGUAUGGCUGUUCGCCAUUUAAAGUGGUACGCGAGCUGGGUUUAGAACGUCGUGAGACAGUUCGGUCCCUAUCUGCCGUGGGCGUUGGAAGAUUGAAGGGGGCUGCUCCUAGUACGAGAGGACCGGAGUGGACGAACCUCUGGUGUUCGGGUUGUGUCGCCAGACGCAUUGCCCGGUAGCUAAGUUCGGAAUCGAUAACCGCUGAAAGCAUCUAAGCGGGAAGCGAGCCCUGAGAUGAGUCUUCCCUGAUACUUUAAGUAUCCUAAAGGGUUGUCGGAGACUACGACGUUGAUAGGUCAGGUGUGUAAGUGCUGUGAGGCAUUGAGCUAACUGAUACUAAUUGCCCGUGAGGCUUAACCA